GACGAACGCUGGCGGUGUGCUUCACACAUGCAAGUCGAACGAGGUAGCAAUACCUGGUGGCGGACGGGUGAGUAACGCGUGGGAAUCUGCCUUUAGAUGGGGGGAUAACGGGUCGAAAGACUCGCUAAUACCGCAUAUGACGAAAGUUGAAAGGAGUAAUCCGUCUAAAGAUGAGCCCGCGUCCGAUUAGCUAGUUGGUAGAGUAAAAGCCUACCAAGGCGACGAUCGGUAGCUGGUCUGAGAGGAGUGAUCAGCCACAAUGGGACUGAGACACGGCCCAUACUCCUACGGGAGGCAGCAGUGGGGAAUUUUACGCAAUGGGCGAAAGCCUGACGUAGCGACACCGCGUGAGCGAAGAAGCCCCUUGGGGUGUAAAGCUCUGUCAGCUGG
RNAcentral lists this ribosomal RNA (390 nucleotides) under uncultured bacterium. RNAcentral describes it as "bacterial SSU rRNA". It matches the Rfam family "Bacterial small subunit ribosomal RNA", at positions 28 to 443 of the family's 1533-position model. The record is from RNAcentral.